RNAcentral lists this ribosomal RNA (497 nucleotides) under uncultured bacterium. RNAcentral describes it as "partial 16S ribosomal RNA". It matches the Rfam family "Bacterial small subunit ribosomal RNA", at positions 28 to 507 of the family's 1533-position model. The record is from RNAcentral.
GAUGAACGCUGGCGGCGUGCCUAAUACAUGCAAGUCGAGCGAACAGACGAGGAGCUUGCUCCUCUGACGUUAGCGGCGGACGGGUGAGUAACACGUGGAUAACCUACCUAUAAGACUGGGAUAACUUCGGGAAACCGGAGCUAAUACCGGAUAAUAUAUUGAACCGCAUGGUUCAAUAGUGAAAGACGGUUUUGCUGUCACUUAUAGAUGGAUCCGCGCCGCAUUAGCUAGUUGGUAAGGUAACGGCUUACCAAGGCAACGAUGCGUAGCCGAACUGAGAGGGUGAUCGGCCACACUGGAACUGAGACACGGUCCAGACUCCUACGGGAGGCAGCAGUAGGGAAUCUUCCGCAAUGGGCGAAAGCCUGACGGAGCAACGCCGCGUGAGUGAUGAAGGUCUUCGGAUCGUAAAACUCUGUUAUUAGGGAAGAACAAAUGUGUAAGUAACUAUGCACGUCUUGACGGUACCUAAUCAGAAAGCAACGGCUAACUACGUG